RNAcentral lists this ribosomal RNA (22 nucleotides) under Helianthemum papillare. RNAcentral describes it as "partial 18S ribosomal RNA". Lineage: Eukaryota; Viridiplantae; Streptophyta; Magnoliopsida; Malvales; Cistaceae. The record is from RNAcentral.
ACGUCGCUCGCGAUCGUGCGAC